Molecule: ribosomal RNA, 7427 nt
Filed under: Metschnikowia bicuspidata
Lineage: Eukaryota; Fungi; Ascomycota; Pichiomycetes; Serinales; Metschnikowiaceae
Source: RNAcentral
CUUAAUACUUUGUUAUAUAUACAUAUAUAUAUAGAUAAAUAUAUAUGAUAUUUUAUAUAACUUAACCUAAUAAAUAAGAUAUAACUUUUAUCAUAUAUAACUUUAUAAUAACUUAUAUAGGUUAUAUGAUACUUAUUUAACAUCUUAUCUCAUCUAAUUAAAUAACACUUGAUGUAUAACCGGUCAUUAUAUACGACUUAUGUAAAAAUAAACAUAAUUAUAAGGUCAUUUAAAUAUAAAAUAAGCCAUAUAACAAACACCAAGAAAUUAAUUAUGUCUAUGAUAAUAAACACCAAGAAAUUAAUUAUGUCUAUGAUAAUAAUAUAGAGAGAAAAAUAAAUGUUACCAUUUAUGUAAUGACAUAUAUUUAUGUAAUGACAUAUAUGUAUGUAUGUAUAGACAUAAGACUUAAAGAAGAUGAACAUAUGAAUGAUAUAAAUAUACUUAAUUAAGGAAAAAGGAUAAGAAGAAUAAAUAAGUAUAUGAAAUAAUAGAGGUAAAUAAAAUAUAUAGAAGUAAAGUCAAGUCAAGGGUAAAAUUAAAUAGAAGGUGAUAUAUUGAAAAUUGGUAUAUGUAAAUAAUGUUAAUUUAAGGAUUAUUAGACUAAUUAAAAAAAGAAAAGAUAAAAAGACGUAAGGUCAAUCUGAAACAUGAAAAUGUAAAGGAAAAGCAAGUGGAAUGAAACAUCUGAGUAACUUGUAAAAAAACCAACAGGGAGAAUAUAAGUAACGGUGAGUGAAAGUAUAAAAAGGAUCAAAAAUUAAUACUAAGAAGUAUGAAUAAAGUAGAAACCAACUACUAAGAUAAGAAAGAAAAAAUUAAGAGUAAAGUACCGAAAGGGAAAAAUAAGAAAUAGAUUAACAGAGAGUAGUUAUAGUAUAACGUACCUUUUGUAUAAGUGCGACAAGAAGCACUUGUGAUUAAUGUGGUGAAAUUCCACCAAACCUUUCCAUUGGUUUGACCCUAUCCACACAUGCUGAAGGAGUAAUCGUCAGUGUGAAGCUGUGGAAACAAUGUAACAAAUUAUCCCAUUUUUAAUAAUCGGAGUGCUAGGGUGAAAAAUUCUAAGAUGAACGAAAGUGAACAUGCCUUGAGGCUUCGGUAUCAUAAUUAUAUUAUUAUGAUAAUAGUUAAGACAGAUCCUUCUUAUACUGGGAUUCUGGAAUGGAACAUAUUUAACACGGAGUAAAGCAUGCAUCUAAGGAAUUUAAGUUUUAUCCUUUCUAUUAAAUGUGGAGAGGAUAGAAAUUCGGAAUAUAAUAUUCUGGAUAUAAUGUAAUCACAAAUGAACUUGGUAAGCCCUAAGUUUUCAUAAAUUUAAAUUUAAGAGGUAACUUAUAAGGAGUAAUCCGAAAUGGUUAUAACGAGCUCAGGGUAGAAGAACGAUUCAGAAAGCGAAUGCAGAUUAGUAAUAGAUCUUCCCCCAGCUAUAGCGGGGGAUAUUUCUUUUUACCUUAUAUAAGGUUGAUAAGGGAAUAGAUAGAGUCAUAUGACUUAAUCCGAGAGGAUGCAGACUUGAAUCAUUGUGGUCAACGUAAUUAUAAAUAUCUUGGUAUAAUAACUAUGAAAAUAAAGUAGUAUAAUAUUAUACAGAACUUAACUUAAGUUAAGCUUAUCAAAAAAUUGUCUAAAACAUAUGGCAUACUAAAUUUAAAAUAACAAAUAUAGAGUUUGUACAUUUAACACUUAUAUGAUUUUAAAACCUUGAAUAAGUUCAAGAAGUAUAAAAAAUCAGAUGUGAAUGACUGGUUAUACCAAUUUACAAGUAACUAGUAGAAGGUAUAAGAGUAUAGCGACGAAAUCAAUAAAUUGAGAGAAAGCAGAAGCUAAAGUAAAAGAUCUUCAAGAGAUAAUAAUAAAAUAAUUAUUGCUACAUUAAAUAAUAAUAUAAAAGAAGUGUAUAGAUUACAAUGAAUAUAUAAGAAAAAUAGAUAAAGGUGUAUAGUUUGAGAUAAGGAUUAGAAAACCGAAUAAUUAUAAGAAAUUAUAAAAGUAAUAAUUCAAGACAAAGUAAAAUAAAUCAUAACUUUUUAUGUAUUAUAUCUAUCAAUGACUUAAAUCAGGUAAGAAUUACAAACUUAAAUCAUUAAUUUAUUAAAAUUUAUUAAAGAUGAUAUGAAAUUUUAUAUUAUUAUUUAUUGGCUAAGAUAGUGAGGAACGAAAUCACUUUCGAGCGUGAUUGCAUGAGCCGUAUGCGGUGAAAGUCGCACGUACGGUUCUAAGGGGGGGAAAAACCGAGAGGUUCUACCUAUCCCAAUUGGGCCAGUGAGUUAUUAUAUUUAGUGAAAUAAAAAGAAUUAAAUUGAAAAAGUAUGAAAAUUAAAUAUAAUAAGCCCGAAAGCAGACGAUCUAUUCAUCUACAAGUGUUGAUUAAAAUAUAUUAAUCAAUGACUGAAUAAGUGGUUGUAGCAAUAACCUUUAAAGAUAGGUGAAUUGAAGUGAAAGACAAAUCUGGUUUGCCGAUAGCUGGUUUUCUGCGAAAUAUAUAUUAGUAUAGCCUUUAUAAAUGUUAAAACUGGUACAGCACUUAAAUACAUUUGGGGGAUUUAAUGAAUUCUAUCAAAGUAUUUUAAUCUCGGAAUCAGUUUAAAAAAACAAAAAUAAGGAGUCAGACUUAUUGCGAUAAGGUAGUAAGUCGAAAGGGAAACAACCCAGACUAUUAAGUGAAAGUCCCAAAUAAUAACUAAGUGAACAUAAUCUAUUAGAUUAAGAUUAAAGACAAUUAGUAUGUGGGUUUGACAAUAACCAUCAUUUAAUGAACAUGUAACAAUGCACUAAUUUGAUAUAUAUAUAAAAAAUAUGUACUUAAAAUAGAGUUAAUUCACGGGUCUAAGUAUAAAACUGAACUAUAGAUAUAAAUGAAAAUAUGGUAGCGGAAUAUAGAAUGAAAAUAAAUUCUAGAGAUAUUGCUGGCUUGAGUAACGAUAGAUAAUAAAAAAUUAUCCUCCAAAAAUCAUAAGGUUUUACAAUAAACGAACGGUCCCUAAGAUAAAAAUAGAAAUAUAAAAAUUGAUGGGUGAAAAGACAAGUAAAAGUAAAAUAAACCGUACUGUAGACCGACACAGGUAUGAUAAAAGGAGAAUGGGAUAACUACUUUGAAUGAACUCGGCAAAAUACGAAAAAAGUAAGAAGCGUGCGACUGUUUACCAAAAACACAGCCUAUUGCAUAUUAGAAAUAAUAAGUAUAAUAGGUGGAAUCUGCCCAGUGCUUCUUAAAUAAAAAUAUAUAUUGUAAAAGAUAAAUAAUUAAUGAGAAGUAAACGGCGGUCUUAUCGUGAGGAUCCUAAGGUAGCGGUGCGACAAGAAGCUUGUAUUAAGAAUGUGGUGAAAACCCACAAUUAUCGGUUAUAUAUAAUUAACCUAUUCCAACAUGCAUAAUAAGUGAUUAUUUUGUAUGAAGCUUGGAAGACAAAGACUAUAAACUCAAGUUGAUAUGAGUGACGAAUCAGGUUAGAACGACAUGAUUAGUAUAUCGAAGUAUGUGUAUAAAGUUUCGUAAAAGGAAAAUAACGUGAUCAAUAUCGUUAUUAUUAUGGUAAGGAAAAUAUUGACGCUACGAAUAUUUUUAUAUAACUGAAAUAAAAUAAAGAUAACCAUCGGAACAUAGCAACAAUCUAAAUCGUUCAUAAAGGUCUUAAUACGAGAACUUGGUAAGCCUUAUACACACCAAAUCAAAUUAGAUAUAGGAAGUAACAUAUAAAAUUAAUGUAACAGUUAAUGGAAGUUGUUAUAUAGUGUAGAAGGUAGAGGAUAAAUAUAAAAAGCUAAAGAUCUUAUGUAAUGUAGGGUAUAGAGUCUUAUGACUUAUCUUGAAAAAGAGCUGACUUAUAUAUAAGGUUUGUAAUAUCUUAAUUGGUGAGUUAUGAAUAUAUUGUUAUAAAUAUAUUGUUAUAAAUAUAUUGUUAUAAAUAUGAAGACAAGAUUUAAACAUAAACAUAAACAAUCACAAUUAAAGAUGAGAAGAAUAAAUAAUGACCAGGAUUUUAUAAGUAGAGCUAUAUAUGAUAUCUAUAAGAAUUAUCAUAUAUGAUAAUGAAAUAAUCAUAGCCUAAGUUUAAAUAUGUAUAAUAUAUCCCCCUACUAUUUAUGGAGGGUAUAUAUAUAAAUACAUUAAUAAGCUUAAAUCCAACAUAUUUGUUUGUUAUUAUAAAUUUGAGCCGUAUGCAGUGAAAGUUGCACGUACGGUUCUUAAGGGGGGAAAAAUCGAGAGGUUCUACCUAUCCGAACAAAUUCCUAGACGUAUAAUUGACGUCCCGCAUGAAUGAAUGAACGAUGCGCAAACUGUAUCCAAAGUAGACCCAGUGAAAUAACAAUUACGGUGAAGUUUAGUGUUUAUAAUACGCCGGGUUGGUGAAAAUCCAACUUUAUAGUUUUAUUUUUAAUCUCUCUCUUUUUAAGAGGGAACAGCCCUACUCAGUCAUAUAACGAUUGAGUAUGAUUUUGGUAUAUUUUAAGGAAACAAUAACAAUGAAUAAAUUUUAUAUUUGAUAUAUCUCUCCAACUAAUAACAAACUUUAAUUUUAUAUUUAAAUUAUCUCUACAUAUAGAAGAUAUACAAGUAUAAGAACAUAUUAGAUAUAUGUUGAAUAUGGGGAGAAUAACUAAAGAUAUAAAUAGAAGUGAAUGUUCUCUAACUAUUACAAAACUUGAAUAUAUUAAACUCAACUAAAUAUUUAGAUUAUUUAGAUUUUAAAGAUGCUUAUAAUUUAUAUGUAAAUAGAGUAGAAUAUAAUGAAGCAUGAGUUUAAAAAAUAAAAUGAAUAAUAAUAGAACUGAUUUUAAUUUAUACACCUAUGAGAAUAUAAAUUGAGCAGAACAUAUAAAUAUUGAUUAUUAGGUUAAUUUAACUUUUGAAGAGAUGAAUUAAAACCUACUUUUGCAUUAGUAUUAACAGAGGUUCAAUUUCCGUUAUUUAGAUGAAUAUUUAAAAUGAAUAUUUAAAAUGAAUAAUACAUCUACUAUAAACUUAAAUUAUAAUAAAGCAAGAAAUAAUUCAAAACCUAGUUAUAGAUUUUUGAAAGAUCUAUUUAUAUCUAAAAAAUAUAAUAUAAUUAUUUUAAAAUUUUAAGUUAAUUAGUUAGUGCAGUUUAUUAUGGUUUACACCCUUCUUUUAGUAAAAUUAUGUUAAAAUUAAGUUAUAAUAUGAAUAAUAAUACUCAAUAAAGAAUUAUUUACAAAUGAAUCAAAUGUAAAUGUUGUAGAUAAAUUGAAAGAGUUAGAGUUUUUUAUAAAAAUAUAUAUAUCUCUCCUGAUUAUAUUAGGAGGGGUAAGGAAUUAGUGAAUAAAAGGGUGGAUUUCCCCAGAUUAAAUUUAGAUUAAAGUGGAAAAUUAAUGACUAUGAAAUAUGAUUAGUCAUGCUUAUAAUAAGUACUUAAGAAUACAAUCGAAUAAUUUUCCCCCUAUAUAAAGGGUUAAAAUCUAGAAUAAAAUUAGAUUUUAAACGCUAUAAAUAAAAAGGUGAAAACGGUCAAUGACAUCUUAGUUAAAGACCGUCGGCAGUUGUAUAUGUCGCUACAGACUGGUUCACCGAGGUUGGGCUGAAAUGCCCGUCUAAAUGUACAGUCGAAUUUUGUAAUGUAUAUAUUUUAAUAUAUAUAUAAAGGUGAAAGAUAUUUUAAUAUAAAAUAAGAAAGUAUUGCUCUCUUAUAAGUAUUAAAAGCUUAUUAAACACAUAAGUAAGAAUCCUUUAUAGGUCAAACCUAUUUAAGUUAAUCAAAAUUGGAAGAUGCCGAAUAGCUGUAGAUUGACAAAAAGACCCUAUGCAGCUUUACUAUAAUUUUAUUUUGACUAUAUUAAAUAAAAAAUUUAAUAAAAUUAUAUAACAUUUCAGAUUAGAUUAGGUAAAAUUCAGUUUUUCCUUAUACUUAUAAUAAGGAAUGAUUUUUAAUAUAAAAAAUGAUAUGAAUAAAAUGAGAUACCUAUAUGUUAUAUAAUAUUGUCUUAUUUAUUUAUAAAAAAAAACAAACAAACAAAAAUAAAGACAGAGUAAAAUGGUUAGUUUCGAUGGGGCGUCGACAUCAGACAACACAUCUGAUGUGUCUAAUAAUUAUAAUAAUAAAUUAAAAUUUUUAUAUAAUAGUAUAUAACGUACAAUAGAACUAUAUGGUAAAUAGUUAUGAAAUAAUGCAAGGAUAACAACAUAAUUGUGCAAUGAUAAUGACACUAACAAGUGAAAUUAGUACUUACGUAGAGUGUAGAGAACAGGCAUAAUCAAAUGGUAUGGAUGUCGAUAACGAAUUAAAGUUACGCUAGGGAUGGUAAUUGUCCCUGUAAAAUUAGUUUAAAACAAAACUAAUUCCCUUCUUAAGAAGGUUAAAAUUGGCUCGAUUAAAUGACGAUAGUCGAGAUUAAAUGGAGUUAAUUGCAUGAAACCUAAGGUAUAUUUAUAUACUAUGGUGAUUUGCAGCGAAGUUUAUUAUAUAUGAAACAUAAAAUACUAUUUUAUGUUAAGUAAUAAAAACGUUCAACGACUAGUCAAUGAGUACAUAUAACAAUAAUUUGACCACGAAAGCUCCAAGUUGUAUAUAAAUUUAUAAUAUCAAAAAUAUAUAAGUGUUAAUUAUAAAGAUAAUUUAAAAUGGGAUAAAGGCAUAAUUAUAUAACUACAUUUGAUCCUAUAUAUGAUCUAUAUGGAACUAUUUUUCCUAAUUUUAUAUUAGAACAUGUAAAUGAAAUAGUUUUAGCAUAUUGAAUUAUGGGUGAUGGAUCUUUACAUAAAAUUAACACUUUACAUACUGGUGGUUUUAGUUAUAAUGAAUGUGUUAUUAUAUCAACUGAAUUAAAUAAACUAUUAAAUUUAAAUUCAAGUGUAAAAAUAGCAAAAAAGAAUAUAAAUAGGACUUCCUAUAUGAUAAAAGCUAUUGAUACAUUAACUAUUAAAUAUUUAAUAGAAUCUCAUAUUAUAAGAUAUAUUUAAAUAUAAAAUAGAUAAAUCAUUUACAUAACAUGUAAGUAAAUUAGAUAGUAAAAAAUCUAUAAUAUCUGCAUUUUGUGUAGUUAAAAAUACAAUUAAGACAUAGUCUAAACUAUAUAGAAAUAUAUAGAAGUUAGUAUAAAGAGGCUAACGAUAAUAUAAUUGGUCGUCUAAACUCAUCCUCCUAGUUGCAGCAGCCAGGUAGGGUUGGACUGUUCGUCCAUUAAAGAGUUACUUGAGAUGGGUUAAUUACGACGUGAGUCAGUAAUGAUUUUAUCAUCUAUAGCUAAGACUCAAAAUUAUGACCUUAAGUGUACGCAAGGAUAGUAAGGUGAUUUCCAAUGGUAAAAUUAUAUAAAAGAAGAUAUAAAUAAAGCUAAGAAAUUAAUGUUUACAUAUUGAAAGCAUAUCAAAUAUAAAAUCACAUAAUAAUAGAGUUAUGACAUUGAAUAUAACAAUGAAAUAGUAAAAUCGGUAUAACCGAGAAAAAACUAAUUUUAAAAUACAUAUACCU